Molecule: ribosomal RNA, 427 nt
Filed under: uncultured bacterium
Lineage: Bacteria
Description: bacterial SSU rRNA
Rfam family: Bacterial small subunit ribosomal RNA
Source: RNAcentral
UGGGGAAUCUUGGACAAUGGGGGCAACCCUGAUCCAGCAAUGCCGCGUGUGGGAAGAAGGCCUUCGGGUUGUAAACCACUUUUGGCGGGAAAGAAAUGCCGGAUAUUAAUACCAUCCGGUGAUGACGGUACCCGCAGAAUAAGCACCGGCUAACUACGUGCCAGCAGCCGCGGUAAUACGUAGGGUGCGAGCGUUAAUCGGAAUUACUGGGCGUAAAUCGUGCGCAGGCGGUUGGGUAAGACAGGUGUGAAAUUCCAGGGCUCAACCUGGGAACUGCAGUUGUGACUGUCCGGCUAGAGUGCGGCAGAGGGAAGUGGAAUUCCGCGUGUAGCAGUGAAAUGCGUAGAUAUGCGGAGGAACACCGAUGGCGAAGGCAACUCCCUGGGCCUGCACUGACGCUCAUGCGCGAAAGCGUGGGGAGCAAACA